AGGUCUGACCUGCCCACUGAAAUUAUUUUAAAUGGCCGCAGUAAUUUGACUGUGCAAAGGUAGCAUAAUCAUUAGUUUUUUAAUUAAAAGCUUGUAUGAAGGGUUGGACGAGAUAAAAUCUGUCUCUAUUUAAUUUAUUAUAAAAUUUAAUUUUUAAGUUAAAAAGCUUAAAUUUUUUUAAAAGACGAGAAGACCCUAUAGAUCUUUAUAGUUUUGAUUUUGAAUUUAAUUAAUAAAUUUUCAGGAUUUAUAAUUUAAACUAUUUUAUUGGGGUAAUAGAAAGAUUAAAAUAAUUCUUUUUUUCUUUAAACAUUUAUUUAUGUUUUUAAUGAUCCAAUUUUAUUGAUUAUAAGAUUAAGUUACCUUAGGGAUAACAGCGUAAUUUUUUUAGAGAGUUCUUAUCGAUAAAAAAGUUUGCGACCUCGAUGUUGGAUUAAAGAUUAAUUUAGGUGUAGAAGUUUAAAUUUUUGGUCUGUUCGACCAUUAAAUCUUUACAUGAUCUGAGUUCAGACCGGCGUAAGCCAGGUCGGUUUCUAUCUUUAAUAAUUUUAAAAUAUUUUAGUACGAAAGGACCAAAUAUUUAAUAUAUUUAUAUUUAAUUUUUUGAAUAUUAUUAAAAAUUAUUUUGGCAGAAUAGUGCAAUGAAUUUAGAAUUCAUAAAUGUAAUUUUAUUACAAAUAAUACUUGUUUUUUUUAGAUGUAAUUUUUUCUUUAGUGUGUAUAUUUUUAUUAAUUAUUUGUGUUUUAGUUGGGGUUGCUUUUUUA
This 765-nucleotide ribosomal RNA is filed under the name Lissopterus quadrinotatus. RNAcentral's name for it is "partial 16S ribosomal RNA". The stretch from base 1 to 565 matches the Rfam family "Bacterial large subunit ribosomal RNA", at positions 1848 to 2925 of the family's 2925-position model. Lineage: Eukaryota; Metazoa; Arthropoda; Insecta; Coleoptera; Carabidae. The record is from RNAcentral.